RNAcentral lists this ribosomal RNA (459 nucleotides) under uncultured bacterium. Its description in RNAcentral is "partial 16S ribosomal RNA". It matches the Rfam family "Bacterial small subunit ribosomal RNA", at positions 338 to 794 of the family's 1533-position model. The record is from RNAcentral.
CCUACGGGAGGCAGCAGUGAGGAAUAUUGGUCAAUGGCCGUAAGGCUGAACCAGCCAAGUCGCGUGAAGGAAGAAGGAUCUAUGGUUUGAAAACUUCUUUUAUAGGGGAAUAAAGGUAUCCACGUGUGGAUAUUUGCAUGUACCCUAUGAAUAAGCAUCGGCUAACUCAGUGCCAGCAGCCGCGGUAAUACGGAGGAUGCGAGGGUUAUCCGGAUUUGUUGGGUUUAAAGGGUGCGUAGGGUGUUUUUUAAGUCAGCGGUGAAAGUUUGUGGCUAAAACAUAAAAUUGCCGUUGAAACUGUGAGACUUGAGUGUGUUUGAGGUAGGCGGAAUGCGUGGUGUAGCGGUGAAAUGCAUGGAUAUCACGCAGAACUCCGAUUGCGAAGGCAGCUUACUAAGCCAUAACUGACACUGAAGCACGAAAGCGUGGUGAUCAAACAGGAUUAGAUACCCCAGUAGU